RNAcentral lists this transfer-messenger RNA (397 nucleotides) under marine eukaryotic metagenome. It matches the Rfam family "transfer-messenger RNA". From Rfam's summary of the family: Bacterial tmRNA, also known as 10Sa RNA or SsrA, is named for its dual tRNA and mRNA-like properties. Its role is to liberate the mRNA from a stalled ribosome. To accomplish this part of the tmRNA is used as a reading frame that ends in a translation stop signal. The record is from RNAcentral.
GGGGGCGACCGGUUUUGACAGCGAGAUGAAUGGUUAUGUAAGCAAGUCGAGCGUUGAGGUAUUGCUCGUUAAUAUCAUAUCUCAAACUAUAACUGGCGAAAAUAACUUCGCACUUGCAGCUUAAUCACUGCCAAGCAGGAUUAGCUUAAUCUAAGCCAUUAGAUGGCUAGACAAGUUGUCUUCAGACGGGAUGCGCCCAACGGCCUGUCUAAUGAAGGCAUCAGAUUCGAUGGGCUAGAACAAUGGAUGCUUGGGCCUGCGUUCGAAACUUUACAAGAUAAGCUAUAAAUGGGUUGUUUGUAACCGGUUUAUAGUCGAAAACUAAGAACAAACUAAACUUGUAGAAAGCUUAAUGAUUCCUUGUUUGGACGAGGGUUCGAAUCCCUCCGCCUCCACA